Molecule: ribosomal RNA, 473 nt
Filed under: uncultured bacterium
Lineage: Bacteria
Description: bacterial SSU rRNA
Rfam family: Bacterial small subunit ribosomal RNA
Source: RNAcentral
UGGGGAAUUGUUCGCAAUGGGCGCAAGCCUGACGACGCAACGCCGCGUGGAGGAUGAAGACCUUCGGGUCGUAAACUCCUUUCGAUCGAGACGAAUGGCCUCCGGGUGAACAAUCCGGAGGAGUGACGGUACCGAGAGAAGAAGCCCCGGCUAACUCCGUGCCAGCAGCCGCGGUAAUACGGAGGGGGCAAGCGUUGUUCGGAAUUACUGGGCGUAAAGGGCUCGUAGGCGGCCAACUAAGUCAGACGUGAAAUCCCUCGGCUUAACCGGGGAACUGCGUCUGAUACUGGAUGGCUUGAGGUUGGGAGAGGUGCGUGGAACUCACGGUGUAGGGGUGAAAUCCGUUGAUAUCGUGGGGAACACCAAAGGCGAAGGCAGCGCACUGGCCAAAAUCUGACGCUCACACACGAAAGCUAGGGUAGCGAAGAGGAUUAGAUACCCCGGUAGUCCCUGAGCGGGCUGGCAAGGCGCAU